This 72-nucleotide transfer RNA is filed under the name Candidatus Woesearchaeota archaeon. Its description in RNAcentral is "tRNA-Ala". It matches the Rfam family "tRNA". Rfam says of the family: Transfer RNA (tRNA) molecules are approximately 80 nucleotides in length. Their secondary structure includes four short double-helical elements and three loops (D, anti-codon, and T loops). Lineage: Archaea; Nanobdellati; Candidatus Woesearchaeota. The record is from RNAcentral.
GGGCUCGUAGCUCAACGGUAGAGCGCACCAUUCGCUGUGGUGAGGCUUCGGGUUCAAAUCCCGACGAGUCCA